UACGGGGGGGGCAAGCGUUGUUCGGAAUUACUGGGCGUAAAGGGCUCGUAGGCGGCCAACUAAGUCGGGUGUGAAACCCCCAGGCUCAACCUGGGGACGCCACCCGAUACUGCUGUGGCUAGAGUCCAGUAGGGGAGUGUGGAAUUCCCGGUGUAGCGGUGAAAUGCGCAGAUAUCGUAAGGAAGACCAGUGGCGAAGGCGGGUCUCUGGGCCGAUACUGACGCUGAGGAGCGAAAGCGUGGGGAGCGAACAGG
RNAcentral lists this ribosomal RNA (254 nucleotides) under uncultured bacterium. RNAcentral's name for it is "partial 16S ribosomal RNA". It matches the Rfam family "Bacterial small subunit ribosomal RNA", at positions 524 to 776 of the family's 1533-position model. The record is from RNAcentral.